AUCCAGCUGACGAGUCGUAAAUAGGACGAAACGCGCGUCCUGAAU
This is a non-coding RNA of Schistosoma haematobium, 45 nucleotides long. The record is from Rfam. Lineage: Eukaryota; Metazoa; Platyhelminthes; Trematoda; Strigeidida; Schistosomatidae.